Non-coding RNA from Neolamprologus brichardi, 198 nucleotides. Lineage: Eukaryota; Metazoa; Chordata; Actinopteri; Cichliformes; Cichlidae. The record is from RefSeq and is a predicted model, not a curated record.
CAUUUCAAAGUCUUCACAGUGAGCUCCAAAGAGUUUCUAAAAAAGAAACGCUUAAAUGCAGAUGAAACUGAAAUACCCAAACUUCAGCAAUUUUUGCAAGAUCUCAAUGACUGUCACUCAGAGACAUUCAACUAUGUGUCUGGAGCUUAUGGGAUUCUGUCUUUGAUUCAAGGGGCCAACUGCAGAGGAGUGGUAAGU